ACCCUUUCGUUUUAUUAGAGUCAUACCUUCUCGUAACCAAUAAUUAAUUAUAGUAUUUCAAUAAUUAUUAAACCAUAUAAUAAAUCACAUAAUAUGGGCCACAAUAAUUUUUAAAUGAACGAGUUCCACAAAGAAAGAAAGAAAGAAGGAAGGAAGCCAUAGUAAGAAGAAACAAAAUGUUCCUCAUACUUCCCCCCACCGAAGAAUAAAAGAGAGAAUCAGAACAAAUUUAUUGAAAAUUGCUCGCAAUCAAGCGAUCCAAUCGUCAUCUCUUCAGAGAGCAGAAAGCCCAGAUCCACCGGGGAAAUAAGCCACUACAAUAGGUGGGGACUCGGGCUCCCUCUUCCCAAUUUCCUUCAUUUUCUCUUCACUCGCGACGCCAUCUUUGCUGCCUCUCGAAUCGCACCGCAUGUGAUCUUCUCCUUCGCAGUUCACCCUCUUCGCACAACCACCGGAGAAGCACCCCGAGCACGAGCCGGAGACGAGAAUCAUAGCGGCCGCAGCAGCGACUACGACGAUGGAAAGAAGGUGUGAGGAGCAGAAAGUGAACUUUCCGGAGCUUUUCGAUGUGAUGCCGAUCUCAGUCGCUUCCUCUCUUUAUAUAUAUAUAGGGUUGAAGGCGGUUCCCAUGUGUUUGAAUACCAAACCCUAACUUGAUCAGUUUCCUCCUCAAGAAAUUUCUGGGAGACUCCGUAAUUAGUGGUGAAUAAGGAAAAUGCGUUGGGGUUCAUUCUUUUAAGAGAGCUGAUUGGACUAAUCGAUGUCAUUAUUACAUGACGACAAACAUGCUUAGUGACUAAGGAAGCGGUAGUUGAGAAAUCCUAGAGCAAUCGGCGGUAUUUCUUUCCUUUCUUGGGGAUUUUCUUUCCUUUUCAACACUUCGAAUCCAAUGACGAAGUUUUCUCGUAGCCUGCCUUAUUCCACGGCUCGAGAACCAUGUGGGAUUUUGCUGCCUCCGCGGGGCGGUUGUUAUAAGCGGCAAUGAGUCCAUUUGAUGAGAUGCCAUGCCCCGCGACGGUUCAAGCCUCGUAUAAUGACGUGUCGUGCAAUGAUGUGAUAUUUCAUGUGAUGAUAUAUCAUGUGGUGACAUGUUAGGUAAUAUGAUGUCGAAUCAUGUAAUGAUGUGUCAUGUGAUGACAUAAUGAGACAAUUUCCUUUUUUCUUUUAUUUUCUUUUUUCUCCCUCUCUCCUCCACCAUUGCUGAGAAAGAGAGAGAGAGAGAGGAGAAAAUUACCAAAAUAGUCCUAAACUUAUUACAAAUUUUUCCUAUUUAGUCAUAUUACAAUUGUGUCUAUUUGGCCAAAUUCGACCGGCCGACGCUAACGUGAUGCCGGUUGGUGCCGAACCAUGCCGACUUGGUAGUUUGAUAAUAACAUUUUUUUCUUUUUCUUUUUUUUCUUUCUUCCUCUUCUUCUAGCCAGUCGCUAGACUAGCCAAAGGUUACAACUAGGGAGGUUGACCUUGCUAGCCAUGGUGAGGCCUCGCCAUCAUGGGCGAGCUUGCCCUCACCAUCGCUAAGGGAGGUUGAGCUCGCCAUGGCUAGGCAAGACCUCACCAUCACGGGUGAGCUCCCCCUCACCCUUGCCAAAUCUAGGCAACAGUGAAGUCAACCUCAUUAGCUGUAACCUUUGGCCAAUCUAAAGAAGAAGAAAGAAAAAUAUAAAAUUAAUAAAAAAAUUUGAAAAAAUAAAAAUAUUGUUAAGAAAUUGCCACAUCAACGUUGAUCGACCCAUCGACGUGGAUGCCAAUGAUGGUUGGCAUCCAUGUCAACUACGGCCAACCAAAUUAUGCCAAAUGGAUUGAAUUAGCACAAUUACAAAAAGUUUAAAACUAAAUUGGUCAAAAAAAGUUCAUGAUUGAAUUGGAAAAAUUACAAUAUGUUUAAGACCGUUUUGAUAACUUUCCCAGAACUACUCUUGACAAUGGCUUACAAGUCUAGUUCCGUUCUCUCUGUCACUCAAUCAUCGUUGCUCCUCAACAGCCAUGUCAUUGGCUUCCGACACGGAUCUCUCUUGCCGAGACCUGAUCGUUCAGAUCACAAACAACUGCAUCAUCCCUUUUCUGCUCGACUUCUUCAAUCAAGUGAAGUAGCGAUGUGACAUCCCGAUUUUUCUCAAGUUUAUUUUCAGUCAAUUGAGUCGGGCAAUUCAUCCGUGCAUGUAGUUCGUCUCUUAGAGUUGGCCACUCACGAGGGAACUAGUUUAUUGAGUGAAGUAAUUAAGGAAUUUUACCGCGUCAGACUUGGGGACUGAUCACCCUCGGGUCGAAUGCAAGAAAAUUUCCCCAAAAGCUACUCAAUGGAUUAGGCGAGCCGAAAUUGCACCGGAUUGAAUUCAGUCGUAAAAAUUGGGAUUGAACUUAGAAGUUGGAAGCCGAUCAUGUCACAUACCUUAGUAGGAUCAUUGGAUUAAUUUAUGGACUUUGAUUUGGACUCAAUUGGAAGAGAAUUGAUGGAAAUUGAAAUAAUUAAAUGUGCAAGAACUUGGACCCCGGCGGAAAAUGAAUUGGACCUAUUGGAAGAUGUUGUGAAGAUUUGAGUUAGUGGAGAGUGACAUCAGCAGGUGAUGUCAUGGUGGAGGCCAAAAUUAAGGAGAGCUUGACAAGUGUCACAAGCCAAUUGGCUCACCAAAAGUGGGGGUGUCCCAUCCACUUCAUCUUCAACCUCUAGCACCUUGGGAAGGGAAAUUCGAAAAUUGCGGGGGGGGGAGAGAGAGAAUCCGGCGAGAGAGUUGCAGCUGGUCCGUCCGCCCCUUCGUCGCGUCUCCGCCGCUACCGUCUCGCCCGCCGUCGCACGCCGUCGCCGUUCGCCGCUCGUCCGCGUGUGAGGCCCCGGGUGCGAGCUCGUCGCGUCUCCGUCGCCACCGUCUCCUCGCCCGAGCUGCUGGUAACCGACCACCGAAGCUUCCGUCGCCGCCGACCGUCCGCUCAAGCCCCCGCCGGUUGUUGCACAAGCUGUCGCCGGUUCUCCUCCGCCGUUUCUCCGCCCGUUCAGCCACCGUUCCGUCCCCUUCCAAGCUCGGUUAGUUGCUGGAAAAACCAGCAAGAACCAGCUCCUUUUAAGCUCGGUUUGGUCCCCUUUUAGUGCUCAUUUGGUCUUAAUCCGUGUAGGUUUGUCGUCGGCGUCGUCGUGCUCUUCACCGGAGACCCGUCGGAAAGCGAUUCCGGUGAGUUUACCUCACUAAUCAGCGAUUAGCGAGAUAAUGAUGCCCUAAGUAUGUUUAGCUUAAUUGAUUGAGAUUAGGUGGAUAGAUUGGCUUAAUUAGUUGUGGAUUAUAUUAAGGUGAUUGAUUAAGGUAAAGUGUGUUUAGUUAAUGGUUAAGUAUGUUUAUCUUUAAAAUAAACCUUGAUUGACUUAAAGGAAUUUGUUUAUGAUUUAAAUAAAUGCUUCGAAAUUGUUGGAUUAUUUAAUAAUAUAUCUUAUUCCCAAAUUCAUUAAAAUAUUAUUUUAUAAAGAAAAAAAAAACUCGAAAAUUCAUUUUUUGAUCCUAUUUGCUCAGAACUUCGUGCCGAUCGCUGAUAUAUGUUUAGAAUUUGAAUUUGAUGAGUAAAUAUUGCAAAUUGAAUGUUGAUUGUGAAAAAUAGGAAUUUUAUUCAAAAAUUCCCACGUGUCGGGUUUGACACCGAAAUCGAAUUUGGAAGGGUUAAUAUUGAAAUUGGAGUAUGUGAGUGACGUGUAAAGUAUCCAAUGAUCGGUAUUGAAUUGUCGUGUGCUAGUUGAAAGGCUCGGGUCGCAGUAGUGGCUAGGCCGACUGGAUCCUUAUUCUUCUAGAAAUGCCGUCAAGAGAAUGACGUGGCAUGGUCGCAGUAGUGGCGAGACCGACUGGACCAUUAUUAUUCUAGAAAUGCUGUCGAUAGAACGACGUGGCAUGGUCGCAGUAGUGGCGAGACCGACUGGACCUUUAUUAUUCUAGAAAAGCUGUCGAUAGAACGACGUGGCAUGGUCGCAGUAGUGGCGAGACCGACUGGACCUUUAUUAUUCUAGAAAAGCUGUCGAUAGAACGACGUGGCAUGGUCGCAGUAGUGGCGAGACCGACUGGACCUUUAUUAUUCUAGAAAAGCUGUCGAUAGAACGACGUGGCAUGGUCGCAGUAGUGGCGAGACCGACUGGACCUUUAUUAUUCUAGAAAAGCUGUCGAUGGAACGACGUGGCAUGGUCGCAGUAGUGGCGAGACCGACUGGACCUUUAUUCUUCUAGAAAUGCUGUAAUGUUAGUAGAUAGCCUACCUGCGAGUAGGUUGUGCCCUUGUGUGGCAAUGGAUAAUGAUGACAUGGAAUGCUUGCCGUGGUUGUGAAAUUAAGUGAAAUCGAUUGUGUUCCGAUGGCUUACAUUCUUAUCAUUACUGGUGCUUGAGUGAUAUGUAUUAUACUAACCUGCAGGAAGCCAAGAAGGCGAGGUAAGUCUUCUUGAUGUUGUGGCUAAGCUGCUUCGGGGCGUAUUUACUUUCUAAUAGGGGUUUAGGAGGGGUGAACUUGCUGAGACAAAGUCUCAUCCCGGUUUGGGGAAAAAUAUUACAGGACCGUAGAUGGCGAGACCCCCGGAGAUGAGUGGCCUGCCGACGGAGAUUGACCAGACGACUGAGAGUACUCCUGACCCCGGGAGCCCCUGGGUCUAUCAGUUGGUGAGGACCACCAUUUGGGUCGAGGUGAACGUGGAUAAUAGAGUACCUUACUUUUUUAGGGCUUGGUUUCGUACCGGAGCAGAUGGGGUUAGGAUUGGCCCCCUUGACAGCAUGGACAUUCCACUGGCGGUGAUGACUGCCAUUUUGGAAGAAGGGGUAGCAGAUCAUCCUGAUGGUCGAGUGGUCAACGCUUCGCCCCCGGCCUCUUGGGUGACUGAUCCUGAGGAUGUAGGGUCGACGAAUGGGGAUGACCAAUAGUCCUAGGAUUGUGCCUUUUUCCUUUUUGGGCGGACUGAUUCGUGUUAUGUAGGCUAACCCUCUUUUGAUGUGCAUAACUCUGACUCAUUUUUGGUGUAUAGGCCCUGGAUCCAGUUGAUGUAUGUAAGCCCUGGACUGUUGAUAUUGUAUGAAAGUAUGAUGUUUGAUUUUGAGUUGAUGUUCCUGCUGUCCUAUCCCGUAUGCUUUUGUAAGGGGUUUCUUAGUACGUUCCGCUUGCGCAUUAAAUAAAUAAAAAUUGGGGUCGGCGACACUACCUGGGAAUGUCGCAUUUGCAUGACCAUGGCGGGUUGUUCACGUGUCUCGGGGUUCGGGGCGUGACAAGCGACACAUCCUUUGCCCGAACGAUGAGGCCCAAGUCGAGGGCUGUCCUCACCUAGGUAGGCGUUGGCCAUUAACAAGGGAGGGAGGGAAGGGAAUAAAAAAAAUAAAAAAAUAAAAGGAAAAGGAAAUAAAUAUACCUAGAAUUUUUUGACUAAAAUACCCCUUCUCUAGAAGCCAGAAUAGUCACAUGCUCAUUAGCCAGCCAAAUAGGUCCAUAUUUAAAACGAUUUGAUCACUUUGGGUUCUUAUUUGAAUUGACUUGGUCAUUUUAGGUCUUAUUUGAGACAAUAUCCAUUAUGGACCCUUUUUUGAGGAAAUGGCUCAAUUUAGGACCCUUAUUUGAAAUUUUCCUUUUUAAUUUGUAAUAAAAAAAAUUGGAAUUUAGUUAAACUUUCACCUUUAGUUGCUUAUUCUUUUCAAGUUCAGCUACUCGAUUCUCAAGCUUACAAAAAUACAUUAAAUGGGGGAAAAUAUUGGAAUUGAGGAAAUAAUCUAGAUCGGUGCCAUGUGUUGCGAUCUAAUAUAGGGUAUCCCGAAUUAGGAAAGACUUAUUCACAUUUUUUUUUUUUUUUUUUGGUAUUGGAGGAACCAGCUUGUAGCCAACAGCCACGCCGUUAUUCACAUAUUUGUUCCCUUGAGUGUCAUUGAAAAACUUUCUAUAAAUACCUAUUAAACUACAAUUUUUUUAAAUCUAAAAUGAUGCGAUUCAAAUUGACCAAUUUCAUUAAUAUUGAUCCGUUUUCAUGGAUACAAAUUAUAACCUACGCCUGACCCAUAUUUGGUAUUCGUGUCAUCACUUGUAUUGUUUUUUUACCUUCUCAAGUUCGUAUAAACUUGGUCUAAUAAGAUGCAAUGUUUCCUUUCAUGAAAAAUGGAUCGAAACGUAUCUAAGCUCUGUCACUUUCAAGUAAUUAAAGUUCAUAAGUGUCAUAUUCAAGGUCGGUAUUUUGCUCUAAUAUGGUGUCGAUCAGUAUUUUGUUCUAAUGUUGUGUCAAGUCAUUAACGUGGUUUAAUUACCAAAGUCACAUAAUUCAUAGAAUUAGUGUAACCUUUUAGUUUUUCUUCGAAACAACAUCGUGGACGGAUCUCCAUUUCGUGUCCUUGACAUUGGAGACCAAAAACACAUGAAUUGUGUUGUAUAGAGCUGUGUUUUGAGAUUGAAUUAGAACAGGGAUUAAUAUCAAUUACACAAUAUGUGCACUUUUUUUCUACACAUUCCACGUCCAUCACAUGAUCAUAUUUGAGUUGUCCAAACUGAGUAGUAGAGUUAAGUACGAGUAACUAGAGUAUACUCAAUAGAGUUUGGGCUCAUGAUUUUAAUAAUUGAUUCAAGUGACUGGUAAGUCUAAUUUUGAAAUCAAAUGUCUAUUUUAGAAAAAUCGAUGUGUAUGUUACCUCCAUCUUUUAUCGUGCUCAGCAAACUUAAGUUUUCAAAUUGAGAUAGAGGGUUGAAUGUUUACCGAUAUUCCUGAUUAUUAAUUAGGAAACCACUAGCAACAAGAUAAAAAAAAAAAAAAAAUGGUUCCUUCUUCAAAAUUCAAAUUGGGCAAGGCACUUCUGAUAUUCUAGUGGAGUCUAAUGUACGCUUUACCAUAGUUCUACCUUUUGUCUUCUUUUCGUAAAAUCUUUUUUUUUCCUUCAAGUUUUGCUUCUUAUUGAUUUCUCUUUUCUUGCUUGCUUAACCAUUUUUACAUCGGUCUACAUCGGUAGAGUUAACAACGGAUGUUGACCGGCAGCCGUUAGUGAUGCUUUCUGACAGACAUGAAUAUGAUGAAGAGUUUAUUCCAAAGUCUAGUUUUGCCCUUGACAGCAAGAACACAGACAGAUCUAGGCUAACCUUCUUUUUCUUUUUUCCAAUGGGUGGAGAGAAUGAUCCUAAAGUCUAAGCUCCACUGUGGGUGUUCAUGCAUGUAGUCAUGUCUUGAUCUUAAGCACUGAGGAAUUGAGUUAAAAGAGAAGAGAACCAAUGAAACAAGCAUAGAGAAAGCAACUUUUGACUAUUCUUUCACGUACAGAUAAUGUGAUACCUGAACACAAUAUAGCCUCAUAAAAUGGAAGAAAUCAAAAGACAUUCCACUGUUUUAUAUUCAAAUGAAUGAACCAAUACACAGAUCCUAGAAACCCUCCUGCACAAGCAAGGGAUCAUUAAUAGUCUUCAGUUUUUGUCAGGGCUCAGAGACGAGAAAGGUUAGAUCCUAUGGGGAAGUAAGCCAUCGGAAUUGGGGGAGGCUUGGACUUCCUCUUCGAACUGUUCUUAUUCAGCUUGGCUUCACCUCCGACAUGGCCGUCUUUGCUGAUCGAGCUGCUCUUGUUCGAGUGAUCCCCCCCUUCGCAGCUAAUCACUCUACUGUUAGAAUGAUCAGAGAAGCAGCUGAAGAGGCUCGAGAAGAGACUCAUGAUUGAGGAUGAGAACAACAAAGCGGGCAAGGAAAAAAAAAAGGGCGGAGAAUUCAACACUUCAGCUGAAUCUCUCUCAAAGAACAAUCGUAGGAAUUGGAGUUGAGAACUUCCUUUUCUGAGUUGCUUGGCGCAAAGACCCGAGCUUCUUCUUGAGCUAUAUAUAGACAUAUUGAUGAAGCUUUGGAGAGACUUGGCCGCCUUAGCUUCGAAAAUAAUAAAUGAUUUCAGUAACUUAGUCUUCCUUCCUCAGGUUCCUGGAAACGUCUAGGUUGGUUACCCUCAGCCGCCAACAAACCGAGUGUUCAUCAGGUCCAAAUGAGGUUAAUUUUGACUUUCUCUCGACGAAUGACCUUCUUUUUUUUUUUUAUUACUAAAUCGGCCUGCAACAUUAGUACAGGUGCGCUGUUUCUCUUUAGCAGCACGUUUGAACAUGUCAAACAGAGGUGCGUCAUAUCGUGGCUCCCUCUUUGACCCGCCAAUUCUUAAGAUUUUCCUUUUGUUUCAGUCUAAGCAAAAGCGAAAGUAAUGUUAUUUAAAUGUCAAAUAGUUACAGGAAAACUAUGUAUAAUCAAUAUUUGCAUAUUACAGAAGUUAUGAUGUUUGGAAUUUUUAAAAAAAUUCAAAGUGCAUGAACCGCAAGAUUUUGAUUAAAUAAUGCGAAGGGUUUGGUAAGAUCAAUCACGGCAUAGUAGAAGGACAACGGACCACGGAUCUAUUAGGAUGAUCCCCUUGGCAUCAUCCUACCAUUUCUCCAUCUGCGGUUGGAGUGUUUGAUUUGUACUAUUGCCAUGGCUCCUUCUCAAUGGGCCUAAUCAGAGUCACACAUCCUGAAUUAUGAUUGGAUCCACAGAUGUAUGGUGAAAAAGAAGACUUGCAAGUUGGAUACAGCAGGAGUUAUGCUAUAUACAAUGUACCAGCCGAUCCUAGACCACUGAUGAACUAGGAUUUCUCAAAUUGAGGAGUGAUUAGAUGUGAAACGGCAGCCAGACAUUGAAUCUCAUCAAUUGUAGAGAAUGCAAACGCUUUCUUUAAUGAACAUUUUGAUUAAGUCAAUCCGCGUUGCUGUACAGACCACGUUUCUUGAUUCGACCCAUCAGCACCUAAAUAUUCAAACUCAAUGGCAAUACUUCGAUGAUAUAUAAUACAGUCCCUGCGUACCUUUCAUGAGAACUUCAAUCUACACAAUUUUUUUUCAAAUUAGGUAACCAUCAAUUUGGCCCCUAAAUCAAAUGAAGAAAGGGACUGGGAGUCACGUUUCGUGGGGUCGAGAGCGUUUGACUCUACAUGCCACGACCCGCAAUCAUAUUUAAUUUGGAGGACCACCAUUUCCUUGCAGCCCACGUUAAUCAAGAUUCUUAUAUAAAGAUUUCUUCUCAAUUUUCUUGACCUAGAACCACGCGUCGUCGCGUCAUUGGCUUGGUGAUGUACGCUAGAAAAUCAGUUAUUGGGUACCAGACCAAUUCGUACCACGUGGUUUAGACUAGUUCUUAACUCGUGAUGUUUGGGUUUCGAAUUCCGUAAGAUACUUGCUUCUUUUUUUUUUUUUUUUUUAAUGGUGGGUUAAGGUAUGAGGUUACUUCUGGGGACAUGUCCUCCUCCUUGCUUAACGCCUCCAAGUUUGUCUGCAUGCAAUUUACCCUAGAAGUCAGGGCUUACAUAUGGGAUUUAUAUGAAGUGCGUUAGCGGGGUAAAAUACAUUUUACCCAAGUAGUCAUAAAAUAGAAACUCUCAUCUAUUAAAGGAAUCAACUUAUUUACGAAAAUUGAAGACUGUAUACGUGCAUGUCAAUGUCUGGACCAUCUUUUCAAUUUUUUUGUUUUGACAUAAUUAGUGUACCAAAUAAAAAUCAUUACAUGUUAUAUGCUUCAUGAAGACACUUUUAAAGGACUUUUAUUCUGCACAUUGGCGAUGUAAAAGUUGCUUUACACAAGCAAGUCUUGGAGAAUGGCAUACUUAAUUUGUAUUUUUAACUUGUAAAUUUAUGAACAUUAUAGCAUAGUCGAGCAGUCAAAAUCAACACUAAACACGAGUGGUUUUGAACAUCAUUGCUUUGGGAGAGUGGGUAGUUAUAAUUCUCAAAUCAAGAGCAGAUAAGAUAACUUGUAUAAACUUUCUUCUACGCAGACACUGUAUGAUCUAUUUGCUUUUUAGAAAUGUAUUCCAUAAAUGAAUUGAUUUAACCAUUCUAAGACUCUUUGUAUAUUUAGAAAAAAAAAAAAAAAGCUUUUGCAUUGGCUUUGUAUUUAAUAAAAAUCCCGAUAAAAAAUGGGAUAUGUUAAUUGGAGGAGGUGGAUUGCCGCAAGCACCACCAAGUAAGAUUUUAGAGGGGGUCAAAUUUUUGAAGUACCAAGCAAUGUUAAAGUGAAUUAGAACAGAAAUUAGUAUCAACUCCGCAGGAUGUACACUUUUUUUUUCUACACAUUUCACAUCCAUCAUAAGAUCAUAGUCGAUUCGUCCAAUCAGGUACCCAAGGCAAGUAUAAAUCGCCAUAGUACACUAAACACGUUAGUGCUCAAGUUUGGUCUUAACUGAUUUAAGUGAUUAGCAAGUCUAAUUAUGAAGGCCAAACUUGCAAUAUCAGAAAUAUCGAUGUGAUAUUACCUCUACUUUCAAACUCAUUUUUUGAGAUUUCAGAUUGCUUGUAUGUCAGUUUGGCUAUUGUUAGUGAUGCAAACAUACUUUCUAUCAGACAUGAAUAUGAUAGAUAAUUUAUUCCGAAGGUUAGUUUAACAUUAGAUCAAGCAAUUUGAAAUGUUAAAAAUGAGUCAAUCUAAAGGCUAGAGCUUCUUUUACCCUUGAUAACGAGAAGACAGACAGAUUUAGGCAAACCUUCUCUCUCUCUUUUUUCCCCUUUCCAAUUGGGUCUUUAUCUUAAUCACUGAGGAAUUGACUUGAAAGAGCAUAUCGAAAAAGCAACUUUUGAAUAUAAUUUCACGAAAAGAUGAUGGAUGCUUGAACACAACAAUGGCUAGAUCUACUUUUACCCUUGAUAGGACAAGCACAGACAGAUUUAGACUAACCUUGAAAGCAACUAGGGAACUGGGGAAACAAACAUAGAAAAAGCAACUUUUGACUAUUCUUUCACAUAAAAAUGGUGUGAUACUUUAACACAAUGCCAUACGCUAACCUCAUAAAAAGGGAAAACAAAAAACAUUUCUAAGUGUUGUACUUUCAGUUCCCAACAAUUUCUUAAGAACAAAUGUGGACCAAUACACAGAUUGUACCACCCUCUUGCACGAAAAAGAUGAUUAUAACUGGUCUUCAGUUUUCGGCCGGACUCAGAGAGGAGAGAGUUGAGAUCCGAUGGGGAAGUAGCUCAUUGGUAUUGGAGGAGGCUUGGACUUGCUCCUGGAGAAGUUCUUCUUCGAUUUGCCCUUACCUUUGACACGGCCGUGUUUGCUUAUCGAACAGCUCUUGUUCGAGUGAUCCUCUCCUUCCAAGCUGAUCACUCUACUAUUUGAAUGAUCAGAGAAGCAACUGAAGAGGCUCGAGAAGAGACUCAUGAUUGAUGAGGAUGAAAAAUGGCGAUGUUAUUCUACGAGCAGAAGAGGCUGGGAAAUCUGUACUUUUGCCGGUUCUCUUUAAGAACGGCUGAAGCCGUUGUAAUAGCUAGCUUUUCUGAGUUGUUGUGAGAAAUUCACGAUUGUUUCACUAUACAUAGAGACAUAUCGAUAAAGCUCUGAAGAAACGUGGCCUUAGCUUCCAAGAAAUAGGUGAUUAUUCAUUCAUGUGUCACCGUCACUACGCGGUCUUCCUCCUUUUCAGGUUCUUGGAACCAUCUGAGGUUCUCAUUAUUUGGCCUCAUUGUUAUCUCNNNNNNNNNNNNNNNNNNNNNNNNNNNNNNNNNNNNNNNNNNNNNNNNNNNNNNNNNNNNNNNNNNNNNNNNNNNNNNNNNNNNNNNNNNNNNNNNNNNNCUUGACUUCGCCGAGAAUUUUUCUAUGCUAAAAAAAAAUAUUAGAACGCGUAGAACGCGCCCAACCGAGCGGUGACUGCUUACAAAAAUAUUAUCCCCUACGAUUCACAUGGCUUCAUCCUCCACCAAUGGCCGUUGCAGUUGGUACCAUUGCCAUCGCGUCUCCAUCACUCCUCUCCCCUCUCACCAACCAUCCUCUUCUUCUUCUUCUGCAGCGUGCUUCUGUUGCUGCAUCGUCAUCUUAUUGGCUUGUUGAUGUUGUCAUUCGAGAAUAAUAUUUGGGUAUGAAACUGAGAACGUUUUUAAAACCUGCUAUUUCGGCCAAUUGUUGGACACGUAAGGAAGUUUCGUUUGUUUUCUUAUAGUUUUUACGCAACUGUCCCAUAAUUGUUUUUCUAAUAACGUAACGUCCUAAAAUUAAGCAACUUGAUCACUUUGGCCUUUCUUAAAAAUUCAACUAUUUUGAAUUUAAAAUUCUUUCCUCAAUUUGAGGAUAAUUUCUUUAAUUUAAGGAACAAUUUGCUUUCCUUGAUUUGAGGAAUCAAUUUUGCCCUCAUCAUAUAACUACUAUCUAUUUAAACUUAUUUUGUACAUCAAUAGGUAUGAAGGGAAAAUAAAAAAUUCAAAGUUUCAUUGCGUUCUUUAUGGUAUCAAAGCCCUCUGCAUAAGAGCAUUACUUGUAUCUUACGUUUUCUUGUUCAUGGCUCCAUCCACCAAUUUUGAAGAUUCUAACGAUGUCAAUACCUCACUUCAGUCGUCACCUAUUGUGAUUUCGAAUAUUUCCAGCCUCAUUGCAAUAAAAUUGAAUGUCUCCAACUAUCUCCUUUGAAAAUCCUUGUUCACGCCUAUUUUGUGUGGUCAUUAUUGAUGAAUCAUGUUGAUGGCUCUAUUCCUCCAUGGUCACUUGACGAUCCCACAUAUCCAAUAUGGUUUGAAAAAGAUUAGCUACUGUUAUCUUGGAUCAAUGCCACAUUAAGCAACUCCACUUUUUCGUAUAUCGUUGGACUUACUUUUGCCAAGCAAGCCUGGGAUUUGCUCAAUAAUAUAUAUGCCUCUACAGCACCUGCCCAUGUGAUAUCCCUCAAAUAGCGGCUUACUCGACUCAAGAAAGGAACUCAAUCUAUAGCUGAUUAUCUCCAGCAAUUUAAGGUCAUUUCUGAUCAGCUGGCAGCCUAUGGCUCUCCCCUAAACAAGAAUGAUCUACUUAUUCACAUCCUUCAUGGGCUACCAAUAUCAUAUUGACAAUUCUAUUCCUCGGUUUGUAUUUGCGCCAGGACAUCGACCCUAUCUAUUGAGGAACUUCGUACACUGUUAAUCUGUGAAGAUCUCUCUUUGACUGAAGAUACACUACUCGUGGUUUCAUCUCAGUCUACUGCAUUGGUGACUUUUAAACCUUCCAAGCUCAACAACUCUUGUUGGUUCUCUCGAGGCCGCUGCUAUGUACCAUAUCGUGGUACAUAUGUUCCAAGCUCGCUGUCAUCCACCUCCUUUGGAUCAGUGCAAUAAAAACCAUCUCCCCAAGUUCAACAAAAAUCUCAAAAGGUGUUCGUCGACAAUGUCGAGUUUGCUAUCGUAUGGGAGAUACUGCCAUCAAUUGUUGUCAUUGAAUGGACUCUAUCAAGAUCGCCAUCGACCAAACAAACUUGCAACAAUGGUAGCCAUUGCCUCCACCCUACCCAACACUUGGCACAUCGACACUAGAGCCACUCAUCAUCUCACCCCCGAAAAUGUCCAAAUUCCAACUUAUGAUGUUAAUGACACUGUUGAGAUAGAUAAUGGCAACGGUGCACAUUUUGGUUCCUCCACCAUCUUGUCCUCUUCUUCACCUCAAAUCUAUACUUCAUUGUCCCAUAACUUCACACAAUUUAUUAUCUACUUACCAUUUUUCCAAAAAAAAUAAAUUGUCUCUUUAACUUCGAUGCCUCUGGUUUUUAUAUUAAGGACAACGAUUUGGGGAGGAUACUAUAUUAAGAGCCAAUUGAGAACAGCUUGUACCCACUUUGUACUCCAUUAUAAUCCAUCGCUCUAAAGGCUCAUUACAGUUCAUCCAUCACCACAAAUCAAUGGUAUCUUCAUCACAAUCACCUGUCUCAUGAUAUUGCCAUCUUCUUCAUCAUUUCGGUUUCCAAUAAAUUGGGCUCUCGCUUUGCUUUUUAUGUCAGCAGGUUAAGUCCUCUAAAAUUAUUACAUUAUGAUGCAUGGGACCCUACUCCCACAUUAUUUUAAUCUAAUUUUUCCCAUUACGUUCUCUUUGUCAAUGAUUUUUCCAAAAAUUCAUGAUUAUUUCCUAUAAGAUUAAAAUAUGACUUUUAUGACAUCUUUGUAAGUUUUUAAAAGCAAGUUGAAAAUCUUUUGCCGCACACUAUCACCACAUUUCGCUCAGACGGUGGUGGCAACUUCACAAAUAAUACCUUUAACAAUUUCUUCAAUCAAAUGGCAUUAUAUAUGAAUAUUCUUGCCCCACGCACCAAAACAAAAUGAUGUUGUGGAGCAUAAGUAUCGCCAUAUCAUCGAAACUAGCUUAGCUAUGAUGGCCCAUGUUAAUAUGCCUUCUAAAUUUUGGUUAGAAGCCUUCACCACAACCAUUUACUUGAUAAAUCGCAUACCCUUACUUCAACAUCACACUUUCUUCCCACAUCGAGUUUUAUUUCACAUCUUCUAAUUAUUCACACUUACAAACUUUGGCUUUCUUCCCAUGGCUCCAAUCUUACAAUGCUAACAAAUUGCAACUUAGAUCAACCCCCUAUUCUUUUAUAGGCUAUAGCUCCAGUCACAUAGGGUAUCAUUGUAUGGAUCUCUCAUCUAGUCGAGUACAUAUUUCUCAUCGUGUCAUCUUUGAUGAAACUAAAUUUCCUCACUCCCAGUCAUUCCUCACAUCUUCCAACUCAUAGUCUCGAUUUCUUUGGAGUCAUUCAAACUAAGCAUGUUCAUUAUGGUCCUUCCAUUACUUCACAUGUCAUUCUCACAUCCAACAAUACCUCCACAGUGCCUUCUUCAUCAACUACCGAACCUACCUUUCAAACCUCUGGCCAACCCCUUCCUCCACUUAUUGACAAUCAACCUAUCCCUCCUUCCAUUCACUCAAUGCAAACAAGGUCUAAACUUGGUAUUACCAAACAAAAGGUCUUUUCCCACACCCUUCACCCAAUUCUAUUUAUACUUGCUACCAACCAUAUCUCAAAACCAACAUAUUACUCUCCAGUAAUGAAGGACCCUCGAUGGCAUCAUGCCAUGGAUCAAGAAUUUACCUAUCUUCAACAACAAAAAACCCUUAUGAUUCUACUAUGAACGUAGUGGGUUGUAAUUGGUAUUUUGAGUUAAACGAAAUCCGAGUGGCUCUAUUAGUCACUACAAAACUCGCCUUGUUGCUAAGGGCUUUCAUCAAUAGUAGGGUGUUGACUUAAUUGAGACCUUCAAUCUCGUGGUAAAACCUAUCACCAUUCAAAUUAUUUUAUCUCUUGCGAUCUCUCACAAUUAGCCACUUCGACUAUUGGAUGUCAAAUGUGCAUUUUUACAUGGUGAUUUGCAGGAAACAAUGUUCAUGUCCCAACCUCCGGGCUAUGUUGAUCCGGGCAAAUCUAAUCAUGUUUGUCAUAUGAAGAAAUCUAUUUAUGGUCUUCGUCAAGCCCCUCAAGCCUAGUAUGACAAGUUUAAUUCAAAACUCUGAGAUUUUGGAUUCACCGUCUUUAACUCCGAUCCAUCACUAUUCAUCUUCCACUAAAGGCAUAGAACUAUAUAUCUCGUCCUAUGCAUUGAUGAUAUCAUACUCACUAGCAAUGAUACUUUAACGUUGCAAUAGUUAAUCUCAUAUCUUAGACAUCAUUUCCGCGUGAAAGACCUCAGACCUCUUUUUUAUUUUCUUGGUGUUCAGAUAACAUAUAAUUCUAAAGGUGUACAAUCAAUUAGUCAAAGUAUGUUAUGGAUGUUCAAAAACGUGCAAAUAUGAACGGAUGUAAACCAAUCCCAAUGCCUGCAAUGUCUCAAGAACUUGGCCGAGGUGAUGGCCCUCUACUAUUGAAUCCCACUCUUUAUCGUAUUCUUAUUAGAGCGCUACAAUAUCCUACUCUGAUGCAUCCUAACAUUUCUUCAACCGUCAAACAAGUUUGUCAGUUUCUAAAGUCUCCCAUUGAGGAUCUUCUUGUGGCAAUCAAACUCAUUUUGCGUUAUUUAAAAGGCAUAAUCACUCAUAGUCUUCACUUUUGUCUAAUCCAACACCAAUUCAUUGCCUAUUGUGACACUGAUUGGGUAGGCUACCCAAUUGAUCAACACUCUACUAGUGGGUAUCGUGUUUUCUUAUGUUCCAAACCCAUUUCUUGGAGUGUUAAGAAGUAAGCUACAAUGGCACAUUCUUCAUCUGAAAUUGAGUACCGGUGUCUGGCUGAGGUUAACACUGUAGCUAAAUUAGUUUGGCUAUUCUCCUUGUUACGUAAACCGCAUUGCCCACUCCUUACACCACCCACUAUCUAAUGUGAUAAUGUUUCAACAAUCUCUUUUGCCAAGUGAAGGAAAUUACCUCCAAUUCCAUAUUGUGAUUUAUUAGUAGCUCCAAUUUGGAAUCUUCCACUACUGCUAUCUCCUUUUUGAUAGGAGGAGCUUGCUCAAUAGCUAACUUUGAUGCUUCCUUUCCAAGGAUGACCACAGCAUGUGCUUCAUCUAGUAGGCUGCACAUGUUGUCCAAAGCAUUCUAUAGCUUCUCAAUUUUUUGGUUUUUGGUUUCUUCCAAGUCAAUAUGCAAUGGGACAGGUAUUUCCAUAAUUAAAUGAUGUAAAGCAAGAGUCUCUCUAUGUGUACAAAAUAAUUAAGACAUGCUCGUUCGUACUAAAAAAAGUACUUGUGGGUCCCUUGUGCUUCCUGAUAGAAGUAGUCCAAAGAGUCCCACAUCGUCAUAGAUGAGACUGUUUGUUUGAAAAUCUACUACUAUCUUGGGCAAGAAAAUUUUCCUUAGGUGUCUAAUCAGUCUACCAUGAACUGAUUAGUGAUAACUCUUAGUUGAAAAUCUUUUGCAUGCUAAAUAUUUGAACCUAAAUUACAAAUUAAUAUGGGCUUGGGAGAGCUAGAGCUAAGUUUAAGACUUAGUAGUCCAUUAGCAAAACCCUAGAUAGCGCACCCAAGAUUGGGUCGCGACAAUUUGGAAACAAGAUUUUUUCUUAUUUCUUCAUUUGAAACAGGCUCUUAUUCUAUUUCUGCAUUCUUUCUAAAUUCAAGGACUAACUAUUGAAUCGCAAAUAAAAAACAAGGAGUAGAUUCAUAGGUCUGAUGCCUUGUAAUAGAACAUAGGGAUAAUAGAUCACAUAGAUUCAACAAAUGAGGUGGGUUCAUUAACAAUUCAAAGAUGAAAAAAUGGUAUAAAAAAAAAAAAACAUUUCUUCCUCUUCUAUAUCUUGCAUAUUUUUGCCUUGGUAGAUCUCUCUCAUUUAAUAAAAAUCUUGAAUUUUGGAUUACUAAAAGUUUUGAGUUUUUUCAUCCAGCUAGAAAGGGAUGUGGUCACCAGAGGAGAAGCUAAGGCAAUUAUCUUCAAGUGCUCGAACAACCGUGUUACGGACUAGCGGGGAAGGUGGUAGUAUCCAAUGGAGCAUUAAUUUGAGCCCCAACCUCAACAUAUUUGGCAAUAGGUUCUCUCUCACUUAGUCACUCACUCACUCAGUAAACAAAGGCAACGAAUGUUAAAUUAGUGAAUCUCUCUCACUCACUUAGUAAAUAAACUCGAUGCAUGUUAAAUUAGUGAAUAUCUUUAAUGACGCUAGAUAGAAUUUUUUUAGUGUUGGUAAAGAUUCAUUAGCAUUAUCUGAGCCAAAAGAACGCAGUUGUAGCGCUUAUUUUUUAUGUCACAACCUCAAAUUAAUGCUGAUAAAUUAUUGUGCUCCUCUUCAUUUCGAAGAUGGGAUCAUAAGUAACCAACUUUGCUUUGUGACUAAUGGCAGUUGGGGCAAUGGUAGGCGGUCGUGCGGCGGUCGUGCGACAAUCGUGCGGCGGUCAUGCGGCAUUGUCUAUACCAUCUCCAGCAAUUAGAUUUCUGUAAAGUAAACCAUUUUUGGUUAUCUUCAAAUAUGAGCUGAAGAAAAUGUCUGCAACUUGUAAUCUAUUACCUUACUUCUCUUUACUAUUUCAUUGAUGCAUACUACUCAUGUCACUGUAAAUUCAGAUAGUCUACUACAUCUUUGCCAAAUGACAACAAUUUAUCUAGUCCACAAGACACAGCUGCAGAAGAGGAAAGUAACCUACAUCUAGCUUUCCAUUCAUGAACGAACCAUGUUGCUAUUGAUUUUCAUUAUGUCAAGGAAUAAGUUAGGCAUAAAACUCUCGCUAUUAAGUUCAUCUCCAGCAAAGAUCAAAUUGUAGAUUUGUUCAUAAAAGGUCUAAGUUCUAAUCGCAUCAGAUUUUUGCGACUAUUUAAUAAAAGUCUUGAAUUUUGGAUUACUAAAAGUUUUAAGUUUUUUCAGCCAGCUAGAAAGGGAUGUGGUCACCAGAGGAGAAGCUGAGGCAAUUAUCUUCAAGCGCUCGGACAUCCAUGUUACGGACUAGCGGGGAAGGUGGUAGUAUCCAAUGGAGCAUUAAUUUGAGCCCCGACCUCAACAUAUUUGGCAAUAGGUUCUCUCUCACUUAGUCACUCACUUAGUCAGUAAACAAAGGCAACGAAUGUUAAAUUAGUGAAUCUCUCUCACUCAGUAAAUAAACUUGAUGCAUGUUAAAUUAGUGAAUAUCUUUAAUGACGUUAGAUAGAAUUUUUUUUAGUGGUAAAGAUUCAUUAGCAUUAUCUAUGCCAAAAGAAUGCAGUUGUGGUGCUUAUUUUUCAUGUCACAACCUCAAAUUAAUGAUGAUAAAUUAUUGUACUCCUCUUCAUUCCGAAGAUGGGAUCAUAAGUAACCAACUUUGCUUUGUGACUAAUGACGGUCGGCGGCGACGGUCGGUGGUCGUGCGGCGGUCGUACGGCGGUCGUGUGGCAAUUGUGCGGUGGUUGUGCAACGGUCGUGCAGCAUUGUCUAUACCAUCUCCAGCAAUUAGAUUGCUGUUAACUAAACCAUUUUUGGUUAUCUUCAAAUAUGAGCUGAAGAAAAUGUCAGCAACUUGUAAUCUAUUACCUUAUUUCUCUUUACUAUUUCAUUGAUGCGUACUACUCAUGUCACUGUAAAUUCAAAUUGUUUGCUACAUCUUCGCCAAAUGACAACAAUUUAUCCAAUCCACAAGACACAACUGCAGAAGAGGAAAGUGACCUACAUCUAGCUUUCCAUUCAAGAACGAACCAUGUUGCUAUUGAUUUUCAUUAUGUCAAGGAAUAAGUUGGGCAUAAAACUCUCGCUAUUAAGUUCAUCUCCAACAAAGAUCAAAGUGUAGAUUUGUUCAUAAAAGGUCUAAGUUCUAAUCCCAUCAAAUUUUUGCGACUAUUUAAUAAAAGUCUUGAAUUUUGGAUUAGUAAAAGUUUUGAGUUUUUUUCAUCCAGCUAGAAAGGGAUGUGGUCACCAGAGGAGAAGUUGAGGCAAUUAUCUUCAAGCGCUUGGACAGCCGUGCUACGGACUGGCGGGGAAGGUGGUAGUAUCCAAUGGAGCAUUAAUUUGAGCCCCGACCUCAACAUAUUUGGCAAUAGGUUCUCUCUCACUUAGUCACUCACUCAAUCAGUAAACAAAGACAACGAAUGUUAAAUUAGUGAAUCUCUCUUACUCACUCAGUAGAUAAACUUGAUGCAUGUUAAAUUAGUGAAUAUCUUUAAUGACGUUAGAUAGAAUUUUUUUAGUAUUUGUGAAGAUUCAUUAGCAUUAUCUAAGCCAAAAGAAUGCAGUUGUGGCGCUUAUUUUUCAUGUCACAACCUCAAAUUAAUGCUAAUAAAUUAGUGUACUCCUCUUCAUUCCGAAGAUGGGAUCAUAAGUAACCAGCUUUGCUUUGUGACUAACGGUGGUCGGCGGCGACGGUCAGUGGUCGUGCGGCGGUCGUACGGCGGUCGUGCGGCAAUUGUGCGGUGGUCGUGCAACGGUCGUGCAGCAUUGUCUAUACCAUCUCCAGCAAUUAGAUUGCUAUUAACCAAACCAUUUUUGGUUAUCUUCAAUUAUGAGCUGAAAAAAAAUGUCUGCAACUUGUAAUCUAUUACCUUAUUUCUCUUUACUAUUUCAUUGAUGCAUACUACUCAUGUCACUGUAAAUUCAGAUAGUCUGCUACAUCUUUGCCAAAUGACAACAAUUUAUCCAGUCCACAAGACAUGGCUGCAGAAGAGGAAAGUGACCUACAUCCAUCCAGCUUUCCAUUUAUGAACGAACCAUGUGCUAUUGAUUUUCAUUCUGUCAAGGAAUAAGUUGGGCAUAAAACUCUCACUAUUAAGUUCAUCUCCAGCAAAGAUCAAAUUGUAGAUUUGUUCAUAAAAGGUCUAAGUUCUAAUCGCAUCAGAUUUUUGCGACUAUUUAAUAAAAGUCUUGAAUUUCGGAUUACUAAAAGUUUUGAGGUUUUUCAUCCAGCUAGAAAGGGAUGUGGUCACCAGAGGAGAAGCUGAGGCAAUUAUCUUCAAGCGCUCGCACAGUCGUGUUACGGACUGGCGGGGAAGGUGGUAGUAUCCAAUGUAGCAUUAAUUUGAGCCCCAACCUCAACAUAUUUGGCAAUAGGUUCUCGCUCACUUAGUCACUCACUUAGUCAGUACACAAAGGCAACGAAUGUUAAAUUAGUGAAUCUCUCUCACUCACUCAGUAGAUAAACUUGAUGCAUGUUAAAUUAGUGAAUAUCUUUAAUGACGUUAGAUAGAAUUUUUUUAGUAUUUGUGAAGAUUCAUUAGCAUUAUCUAAGCCAAAAGAAUGCAGUUGUGGCGCUUAUUUUUCAUGUCACAACCUCAAAUUAAUGAUGAUAAAUUAUUGUACUCCUCUUCAUUCCGAAGAUGGGAUCAUAAGUAACCAGCUUUGCUUUGUGACUAAUGGCAGUCGGUGGCGACGGUUGGCGGUCGUGCAACGAUCGUGCGGCAAUCGUGCAACUUGUAAUCUAUUACCUUAUUUAUCUUGACUAUUUCAUUGAUGCAUACUACUCAUGUCACAGUAAAUUCAGAUAGUCUGCUACAUCUUCGCCAAAUGACAACAAUUUAUGCAGUCCACAAGACACGGUUGCAGAAGAGGAAAGUGACCUGCAUCCAACUUUCCAUUCAAGAACGAACCAUGUUGCUAUCGAUUUUCAUUAUGUCAAGGAAUAAGUUGGGCAUAAAUCUCUCGCUAUUAAGUUCAUCUCCAGCAAAGAUCAAAUUGUAGAUUUGUUCAUAAAAGGUUUAAGUUCUAAUCGCAUCAGAUUUUUGCGAACCAACCUUGACCUUCAGCUAACCGUGCUAAGCUUGAGAGGGAUGAUAACAUAUCAUCCUAAAAUCGAGCAACUUGAUCUCUUCCAUCUUUCUAAAAAAUUGCGUUCUUUAUUUUCCAAGUCUUGAAUUACCAGAAUCAAGAAAAAGGAGUUUGGCUAUCCUCCUUGUUUUUUUUUUUCCAUAUAGAUGGGAAUUAGCACGACAAUCCAUCGUUAGAAUUCCCCGCUUAAAUCUUUGCUCCCCAUGGUGAGAAUUGUAUCCGCAGCUAUUGAAUCUUGAGCCCAAAGAAUUGGAAUGCCCUUAGUACUGGAUCAAACCCCGAGCGACUAACGUUGAAACAGUUUUGAGUACACAACACGUGCUUAUCUAUACUUAUUAUAUAAAGCAACAUGAACCUCGUACUUUUACGACAUCUUGAUCAUUUCUACUUCCCAAACGUCCUCGACUAUUUAUUUUACAAAUAUAUUAUUUGCGGGCAUACUCAUAGAUUAUUAAUUCUACCUUGUCUUUUGCGAAUUAAUUUUAAAUUUUGAAUCUUGUAUUCAAUAGGAUAACCUUCCUAAAAAAAAAAAUUCAGAUCUUAAAAUAUUUUUCUCUUUCCUCAUAUAUUUAGACAAUAUCUUUCGUAUGGAUAUUUUUGUCAACCCAUUACUGUAAUAAUAAUAAAAUGUACGUACUAAGGUCGGCUUUUUCUUCCCAUCUGUAGCAUAAAUGCAAAACUCAUGCAUAUUUGCUAGUCUAAGUAAAGCAUACGUGAAAAAUCAUAUCAUGUCGCUACNNNNNNNNNNNNNNNNNNNNNNNNNNNNNNNNNNNNNNNNNNNNNNNNNNNNNNNNNNNNNNNNNNNNNNNNNNNNNNNNNNNNNNNNNNNNNNNNNNNNGAUCUUGUUGUUGCUUGAAUGGAUAGGAACUCAUCCUUCUUUACUAUGAUUAAAAGUUGAGAUAAUUGUCAAAAAAUCCUAUACCUAUUUUUACGGCUAAUAAUUCAAUCAUAAAUCUUUUAAUUGUGUUAAUUUAGUCGUAAACCUUUCAAUUGUGCUAAUUUAGUCUUAAAUAUUAUGAUAAUUCGUCAAUUUAGUUUAAACCUUUUGACAACAUGCCAAAUUUAAUUGAAAAUAAAAAAACAUAGACGCUAGCCAUCUUACAUGACGUGGUUAGUGUUGAUAUGAAUAAAUUUUGCAUUUUUAAAAGUUGGUCCCUUUUCUUUCCCUUUGCUUGUGGCUAUUACUAAGCUGUAGUCAAUGAUCUUCCACAAGUGAGAGUUGCCCUUGACUAGAUCUCGCUAGCUGCAAGCAAGAUGAGCCUCGUUAGAUUGGGCAAGGGCAACCCUUGCCUAGCCCAAGAAAAGAAAAAAAAAAUAGAAAAAAGGGAAAAAAAGAAAAAAAGAAAAAAAUUAGAGAAAUUUUUACAAAUUGUCCACAUCAACGCCAAUUACAUCAUAUAAGUCUACUAUAGCUAAUCAGAUUGUCACGUUAGUAUUUUCUAGUCAAAGUUGGAUAAAAUGACUACAUUGGCAAAUUCUUAAGAAGUUUAUAACGAAAUCAACAUAAUUGAAAGAUUUAGUAAUAAAUUGGUCCAUAUUAUUAAAUUACACUCUUUAAUCCAAAAUGAUCCGAUUCAAAUCAAUCUAUUUAAGUUAUAUUAACUCAUUUUCAUGGAUAUGACAUACACUAACCCGAUCUUGACCCGAUCCUUAUUUGGUAUUCGUGUCCAUUAUUUGUUUUUUUUUUUUCUCUUUUAUCUUGUCAAGAUUGUAUAAACUUGGUCUGAUAAGAUGAAGAAUUUCUUUUCAAGAAAAAUGGGUCAAAAUUUAUGUAAAUUCUGUCACUUUUAAGUCAUUAACGGUUAUGUGUGUGAUGCUCAAAGUUGGUAAUAUAUUCUAAUAUGGUAUCAAUUAGUAUCUUGUUCUAACGAGGUUUAAUUACCAAAGGUCACAAUUUCAUACAAUUAGCGUAGCCUUUUCGUUAUUCCGCAAAACAACAUGAUCUUGGACAGAUCUCAAUUUCGUGUCUUUGAAAAUGUAAAAAGAAACACACGAAUUGCGUUGUCUAGCAAGAGACACAUCGCGACUACAUGGGUUACACAUAGGGCCGUCAAAUCCUAUCUCGCAAGAGAUAAUUUUUUCUGUCCGUCCAUUAAUCCUUUUUAGGUUUGUCUCGGGUGGGUCGCGACAAUAAUUUCUUCAAAGGAUGAAGGAACUGUUAGACAAUUCAUAUAAAACUUAACAAUUAGAUGAAGACAUACCUUUCUCCAUAAGGUUGGUCUUCAUGAUUUUCACAAUUAGAUGAAGACAUACCUUUCUCCAUAAGGUUGCACUUGAUGAUGAUCGUUGUAGAAAACCGAAAGAACUCGAACCAAAUGAAGAAAUCCGAUUUCUCUCCUUUAACCCACUAAACGUUAAUGUACUCAAUUGAUGGAGGAGAGAAUACGUUAUUUGGAGGAGAGAAUACGUUAUUUCAGUUACUGUUGUUCAUUGUGGGUGGAGAGAGGACCGGACUCUAUUUAUACGUUCAUUAAAAAGGUGCCUUCCAUCAAAGCGAUGUACCCUUUCGUUUUAUUAGAGUCAUACCUUCUCGUAACCAAUAAUUAAUUAUAGCAUUUCAAUAAUUAUUAAACCAUAUAAUAAAUCACAUAAUAUGGGUCACAAUAAUUCUUAAGGAACGAGUUCCACAAAGAAAGAAAGAAAGAAGGAAGCCAUAGUAAGAAGAAACAAAAUGUUCCUCAUACUUCCCUCCACCGAAGAAUAAAAGAGAGAAUCAGAACAAAUUUAUUGAAAAUUGCUCGCAAUCAAGCGAUCCAAUCGUCAUCUCUUCAGAGAGCAGAGAGCCCAGAUCCACCGGGGAAAUAAGCCACCACAAUAGGUGGGGACUCGGGCUCCCUCUUCCCAAUUUCCUUCAUUUUCUCUUCACUCGCGACGCCAUCUUUGCUGCCUCUCGAAUCGCACCGCAUGUGAUCUUCUCCUUCGCAGCCCACCCUCUUCGCACCACCACCGGAGAAGCACCCCGAGCACGAGCCGGAGACGAGGAUCAUAGCGGCCGCAGCAGCGACUACGACGAUGGAAAGAAGGUGUGAGGAGCAGAAAGUGAACUUUCCGGAGCUUUUUCGAUGUGAUGCCGAUCUCAGUCGCUUCCUCUCUUUAUAUAUAUAUAUAGGGUUGAAGGCGGUUCCCAUGUGUUUUCAAUACCAAACCCUAACUUGAUCAGCUUCCUCCUCAAGAAAUUUCUGGGAGACUCCGUAAUUAGUGGUGAAUAAGGAAAAUGCGUUGGGGUUCAUUCCUUUAAGAGAGCGGAUUGGACUAAUCGAUGUCAUUAUUACAUGACGACAAACAUGCUUAGUGACUAAGGAAGCGGUAGUUGAGAAAUCC
Molecule: long non-coding RNA, 24152 nt
Filed under: Eucalyptus grandis
Lineage: Eukaryota; Viridiplantae; Streptophyta; Magnoliopsida; Myrtales; Myrtaceae
Description: long non-coding RNA (EGRA_LNC003336)
Source: RNAcentral